AGAUCUUGGAUGGUCAGAUGUUUGGGGAUCCUGACCUGAAUUUCCUGAAAUCUGUGAGACCCUGCUGUGUAAACUUCUCUAGAUUUGAUUUUCGGAAGCUCCCACCAACAACGAAAAAUAAAGAUUUAGGGAGAGGGACAGAGCUGUGCUGCAUUGACACCUAUAAACCUCCUCCAAAAAGAGAGAAAUUAAGCUCUGGAUAAAAGAGAGAUCCCUGCAGGAGAAUGGACUUCAAAAUGGAUCAGGCAUUAUCAAGGAAGAAGCGAUUCAGGUUAAAAGCUGGAAAGAUACUGAGUAUAUCUUCUAAUUAUUUUAGCUCAUCAUGUUUUCAUUUGAUGAUAGGAUGGAUGAAGUAUCAGAAAAUAUGGCAAGAAGAGAAUGGCAGGAGAGAAAGACACAAGAGUAGGACUGUAGUACAUG
This is a long non-coding RNA of Lytechinus pictus (painted urchin), 420 nucleotides long. RefSeq lists it as uncharacterized. NCBI's taxonomy places the organism in Eukaryota, Metazoa, Echinodermata, Echinoidea, Temnopleuroida, Toxopneustidae. The transcript has 4 exons. The record is from RefSeq and is a predicted model, not a curated record.